Molecule: small RNA, 51 nt
Filed under: Arabidopsis thaliana (thale cress)
Lineage: Eukaryota; Viridiplantae; Streptophyta; Magnoliopsida; Brassicales; Brassicaceae
Description: ATSL177550
Source: RNAcentral
UAAACUUCCAUCCUUCAGUCUGCUCAACGGUCUUAAACUGCGAAUGGAUCA